CGUGGCCAACCUGCCCUUGGGACGGAAGCACCCCCGGGAAACUGGGGCUAAUUUCCGAUAGGGGAAGACUCCUGGAAUGGAUUUUCGCCUAAAAGGCGCUUAGAGCAUGCUUCUAGGUGUUGCCCAAGGAUGGGGCCGCGGCCGAUCAGGUUGUUGGUGAGGUAACGGCUCACCAAGCCUUUAACCGGUGCGGGCCGUGGGAGCGGGAGCCCGGAGAUGGGCACUGAGACAAGGGCCCAGGCCCUACGGGGAGCAGCAGUCGCGAAAACUUCGCAAUAAGCGAAAGCUUGACGGGGCUAUCCCGAGUGCCAUCCGCUGAGGAUGGCUUUUCCCUAGUAUAGAUAGCUGGGGGAAAAAGGAGAGGGCAAGUCUGGUGUCAGCCGCCGCGGUAAUACCAGCUCUCCGAGUGGUGGGGAUGAUUAUUGGGCCUAAAGCAUCCGUAGCCGGCUGGGCAAGUCCCCUGUUAAACCCAGCGAUCUAAUCGUUGGCCUGCGGGGGAUACUGCUUGGCUAGGGGGCGAGAGAGGCCGUCGGUAUUCCCGGGGUAGGGGUGAAAUCCUAUAAUCCCGGGAGGACCACCAGUGGCGAAGGCUGUCGGCUAGAACGCGCCCGACGGUGAGGGAUGAAAGCUGGGGGAGCGAACCGGAUUAGAUACCCGGGUAGUCCCAGCUGU
This 672-nucleotide ribosomal RNA is filed under the name uncultured archaeon. Its description in RNAcentral is "bacterial SSU rRNA". It matches the Rfam family "Archaeal small subunit ribosomal RNA", at positions 99 to 754 of the family's 1478-position model. The record is from RNAcentral.